RNAcentral lists this long non-coding RNA (679 nucleotides) under Sus scrofa (pig). Its description in RNAcentral is "lncRNA (ENSSSCG00055009221.1)". Lineage: Eukaryota; Metazoa; Chordata; Mammalia; Artiodactyla; Suidae. The record is from RNAcentral.
AUGAGGGAAAUUGAUCUCAGCAAAACCUGGCUACACUUGCAGACACUUGACGGCAAACAAAACAGACAGAACUUGUUAGGGGUAAUCUCUCGGCAAGUCUUUCUGAAGAAAGUUCCAGGCAGCGACCCUGCUCACUCCAUCCUGGGAAGUCUCUGGGGUCCCCUGGGGUCCCCUAGAGUCCCCAGUAUCACGCUUUUUCGCUGCUGGAGCAUUUGUUUUAAGAGAUUCUGCGUGCUGCCCAGAAGUGAGCUGGACCUUCAUUCGUGUGUAUGUUCAUUCAUUCCCACAUUUAACAGGUAUGUAUUGAGUGCCCAAAGCCCGCUGCGUCCUGGUCUAGGUGCUUUUCAUACCUCAGGGAGCAAAGAACAAGAACCCUGCCCUCUGCCACUUGGCAUCAUGGCCAUCCUAGUGGGUGGUGAGGAUGAUAAGAGAGGCAAGACAUUUCAGGCAAGAAGAAGAGCACAGGCUAGAGGCAAGAGUCAGAAGACAGCCUGGCAGGUCCCAGGAAAGAACUGCAAACUCUUCAAAAGUGCUGGAAGGUAACCAACAAGGUGAGGGGCAGCUGGGUGUCGGGAGGCGGGGUGGUCUCAUCAAAAGGCUCUGGGUGCUCCUGGGCUGGCCAUGGCUCUUACAUCUAAUGUUCAAAUAUUUGUUGAAAUAAAGUAAAAAAGCUACGACA